This 129-nucleotide small nucleolar RNA is filed under the name Ochotona princeps (American pika). RNAcentral's name for it is "Small nucleolar RNA SNORA33 (ENSOPRG00000021324.1)". The record is from RNAcentral. Lineage: Eukaryota; Metazoa; Chordata; Mammalia; Lagomorpha; Ochotonidae.
UUACCAAUUCCAUUUUCUCUACCUAAAUGUGUGUUUUGCAGAAAUUUAGAAAAAAACUGGCAAUAGCAAUGCCAUGUUAUAAGCCUUUAGGGGUUAAUGACAUUGAGGUUCCUGAAAAUGUUUAUAACA